UUUAUAGAGGAAAGUCCGUGCUCCAUAGAGCGAGGGUGCCGGGUAACACCCGGUGGUGGCGACACUAAGGAAAGUGCAACAGAGAGAUACCGCCGCGCAAGCGGUAAGGGUGGAAAGGCGAGGUAAGAGCUCACCAGCGAUUAGGCGACUAAUUGGCUAUGCAAACCCCAUCCGGAGCAAAACUGAAGCGACACAAAAUUGCCGCUGCUCGUGGCAAGUCGAGAAUGGUAGGUUGCUAGAGGUAUUAGGUAACUAAUAUCCAAGACAGAUAACUGUCUAAUACAGAACACGGCUUAUAGAUUUA
Molecule: RNase P RNA, 304 nt
Filed under: Ezakiella massiliensis
Lineage: Bacteria; Bacillati; Bacillota; Tissierellia
Description: Bacterial RNase P class A
Rfam family: Bacterial RNase P class A
About the family: Ribonuclease P (RNase P) is a ubiquitous endoribonuclease, found in archaea, bacteria and eukarya as well as chloroplasts and mitochondria. Its best characterised activity is the generation of mature 5'-ends of tRNAs by cleaving the 5'-leader elements of precursor-tRNAs.
Source: RNAcentral